This 460-nucleotide ribosomal RNA is filed under the name uncultured bacterium. Its description in RNAcentral is "partial 16S ribosomal RNA". It matches the Rfam family "Bacterial small subunit ribosomal RNA", at positions 338 to 795 of the family's 1533-position model. The record is from RNAcentral.
CCUACGGGAGGCAGCAGUGAGGAAUAUUGGUCAAUGGCCGUAAGUCUGAACCAGCCAAGCAGCGUGAGGGAAGACUGCCCUAUGGGUUGUAAACCUCUUUUAUGCGGGGAUAAAGGUGUCCACGUGUGGAUGUUUGCAGGUACCGCAUGAAUAAGGACCGGCUAAUUCCGUGCCAGCAGCCGCGGUAAUACGGAAGGUCCGGGCGUUAUCCGGAUUUAUUGUGGUUAAAGGGGUCGUAGGCGGGUCUUUAAGCGUGCCGUGAAAUUUUGUGGCUCAACCAUGGGAGUGCGGCGCGAACUGGAGACAUUGAGUGCGGGGAAGGCAGGCGGAAUUCGUGGUGUAGCGGUGAAAUGCGUAGAUAUCAGGAAGAACCCCGAUUGCGAAGGCAGCCUGCCGCAGCGUUACUGACGCUGAGGCUCGAAAGCGCGGGUAUCGAACAGGAUUAGAUACCCGGGUAGUC